AUAGCCGGCCUAGCUCAAUUGGUAGAGCAUCUGACUUUUAAUCAGAGGGUCAGAGGUUCGAAUCCUCUAUGGCU
RNAcentral lists this transfer RNA (74 nucleotides) under Staphylococcus aureus. RNAcentral's name for it is "tRNA-Lys". The stretch from base 11 to 68 matches the Rfam family "tRNA", at positions 8 to 63 of the family's 71-position model. Rfam says of the family: Transfer RNA (tRNA) molecules are approximately 80 nucleotides in length. Their secondary structure includes four short double-helical elements and three loops (D, anti-codon, and T loops). The record is from RNAcentral. Lineage: Bacteria; Bacillati; Bacillota; Bacilli; Caryophanales; Staphylococcaceae.